Molecule: ribosomal RNA, 497 nt
Filed under: uncultured bacterium
Lineage: Bacteria
Description: partial 16S ribosomal RNA
Rfam family: Bacterial small subunit ribosomal RNA
Source: RNAcentral
GAUGAACGCUGGCGGCGUGCCUAAUACAUGCAAGUCGAGCGAACAGACGAGGAGCUUGCUCCUCUGACGUUAGCGGCGGACGGGUGAGUAACACGUGGAUAACCUACCUAUAAGACCGGGAUAACUUCGGGAAACCGGAGCUAAUACCGGAUAAUAUAUUGAACCGCAUGGUUCAAUAGUGAAAGACGGUUUUGCUGUCACUUAUAGAUGGAUCCGCGCCGCAUUAGCUAGUUGGUAAGGUAACGGCUUACCAAGGCGACGAUGCGUAGCCGACCUGAGAGGGUGAUCGGCCACACUGGAACUGAGACACGGUCCAGACUCCUACGGGAGGCAGCAGUAGGGUAUCUUCCGCAAUGGGCGAAAGCCUGACGGAGCAACGCCGCGUGAGUGAUGAAGGUCUUCGGAUCGUAAAACUCUGUUAUUAGGGAAGAACAAAUGUGUAAGUAACUAUGCACGUCUUGACGGUACCUAAUCAGAAAGCCACGGCUAACUACGUG